GACUUUUUCCUUCAUUGCUUUUUAGGAUGUUUGUAAAAUUCCCAGUGGGAACUUAGAGCUUUGUGGGAGCAGUGGGGAGGUUUUUUGGUUUCAGCACCUUGCUGCAGAGGCUUAGUUAAAGGGAGCAGAGGUGAUACGUGGCAGUCAAGAGGUUUUAAACUUGAACUGUACCCUACCGACAGGAAAAGAGGCAAAUCCUGUGUAGCUGGCUGAAAGCGAAGAAACUAAGGAGCGCCUGUUUGAAUCAAUGCUCAGCGAGUGUCGGGACGCCAUCCAGGUGGUUCGGGAGGAGCUCAAGCCAGAUCAGAAACAGAGAGAUUAUAUCCUUGAAGGAGAGCCAGGGAAGGUGUCUAAUCUUCAAUACUUGCAUAGCUACCUGACUUACAUCAAGCUAUCAACGGCAAUCAAGCGUAAUGAGAACAUGGCCAAAGGUCUGCAGAGGGCUCUGCUGCAGCAGCAGCCAGAGGAUGACAGCAAGCGCUCACCCCGGCCCCAGGACCUGAUCCGACUCUAUGACAUCAUCUUACAGAAUCUGGUGGAAUUGCUCCAGCUUCCUGGUUUAGAGGAAGACAAAGCCUUCCAGAAAGAGAUAGGCCUCAAGAUUCUGGUGUUCAAAGCUUACAGGUGUUUUUUCAUUGCUCAGUCCUAUGUGCUGGUGAAGAAGUGGAGUGAAGCCCUUGUCCUGUAUGACAGAGUCCUGAAAUAUGCAAAUGAAGUACAUUCUGAUGCUGGCGCCUUCAAGAACAGCCUAAAGGACCUGCCUGAUGUGCAAGAGCUCAUCACUCAAGUGCGGUCGGAGAAGUGCUCCCUGCAGGCCGCAGCCAUCCUUGAUGCAAACGACGCUCAUCAAACAGAGACCUCCUCCUCCCAAGUCAAGGACAAUAAGCCUCUGGUUGAACGGUUUGAGACAUUCUGCCUGGACCCUUCGCUUGUCACCAAGCAAGCCAACCUUGUGCACUUCCCACCAGGCUUCCAGCCCAUUCCCUGCAAGCCUUUGUUCUUUGACCUGGCCCUCAACCAUGUGGCUUUCCCACCCCUUGAGGACAAGUUGGAACAGAAGACCAAGAGUGGCCUCACUGGAUACAUCAAGGGCAUCUUUGGAUUCAGGAGCUAACCAGGCUCUUCCUCGGGGGCGGGGGAGAUUCUGACUCUUAAUCUGUAUUGUGAGAAAAUCCCAGCAAGUUCCAUGAUAUUAAAUCCAGGUCUGCAUUGGCCCGGGGCAAGAGUUUAACAUCUUCAGCCCUGCAUUCCUACAUCUUGUGUCUGUACACAUUCUUAAGCAGCGUGUCAGGAGAGCACCCUGUUGUCUUCUGGUAAAUGUGUGCAGGGUCAUCCUGUCUCCUGUACCUCCUGGGAAAGAGGCCGCUGCUGUCUGGUGCCCUGUGAGCUGUGAUUGAUUGCCUUUGGUCAGUAAUGCGUUCAGGAGUCCACACCAGGCACAGAUGGGGCCUUGAAACGCUUUGUCAUGCUUCUUCAGUACCAUGGAUUUGAAAUGAACUCAUCCUUGCUGUGAGCAUCCAGGAGCCCUUGAGAAGUUUAUCUAUGACUAUGAAACUGGCAACGUCACCCCAGAAUUACGGUCAGCCUUAUUCCCCUUCACCUCCCAGUGAACGCUAAGAAGUUUCAGACAAGCAGAGAGCUCUAUUUUUAGAAGAAAUAUGUUACACUCAGAAAUGAUGAAACCAAAUCUUAUAUUAAAAGGCAAAGAUGACGG
RNAcentral lists this small RNA (1714 nucleotides) under Pan troglodytes (chimpanzee). RNAcentral's name for it is "processed transcript". Lineage: Eukaryota; Metazoa; Chordata; Mammalia; Primates; Hominidae. The record is from RNAcentral.